CAGUCUUACCUGCGGACAAUCAGCUUUUGAGUGUGAUUAUGUGGAUUGUGAGGAGUUUAAUCACCCUCAUGUUUUGCAUAUUCGUGCUCUUGGGUGUACUUGCCCGUGUGGUAGGUUAACAUCAAUUUCGGACGUCAUAAAAUGAUUGGAGGAAUGUAGCUUUGAUCUCGUAUCGAAGUGUUAUAGCCUUUGGUAGAUGUGACGAUUGGGGAUUGGAGGAUUGCAACGGAUCGCCCCGUCGGGGUUACCCGUC
This 253-nucleotide ribosomal RNA is filed under the name Glomus sp. (unid). The record is from RNAcentral. Lineage: Eukaryota; Fungi; Glomeromycota; Glomeromycetes; Glomerales; Glomeraceae.